Long non-coding RNA from Oryctolagus cuniculus (rabbit), 3616 nucleotides. RefSeq lists it as uncharacterized. The record is from RefSeq and is a predicted model, not a curated record. Lineage: Eukaryota; Metazoa; Chordata; Mammalia; Lagomorpha; Leporidae.
AUUUGCCACUAACACUGUCUGAAUAGAUUUGAAACAGUAAGUGUAACGGGCUCAAAUGGACAGUGCCUAUUAUCUCUUCCCUUUUCUCCCGUGCCCUUUUAUGGCCUAUAACUUCAUUCAAUCUGUAGCUACAUUUAUGUUCCUUUUACAACAAAAAGGGUCAUAAUGCUGCCUCUGAUAAUACUGAAAUUGCCUAAUUUGUUCAUCUUCUUGCAAGGCCUCGGAGCUGGUCACCUUCUCAAGUUAUGCCUGGGUUUGUCCCCAUCAACUUUGGUGAAAAUUAAGAUUCCCGUUUAGGCACCGGCCAUCUCGCCCACGAAAUGCCUCAGGGCUGGACGAAUCAACCAGAGAGAGAGGUGGUGGGGACGAGGGGAGGCCUAGUCUCACCGGCCCGGGGAACUCUCUCUCUCUCUCUCUCUCUCUCUCUCUCUCUCUCUCCCCCAGCCGCAGGGACCCCCACUGGAGCAAGCCAAGGCGUCCCCAGCGAGCUUCUAGGCGGGGAGGGGGCAGUUCUGCAAAUCCCCAAGGCUGGGAGCAAGCUGCCCUGCCGGUCAGCUGACGCUGCGAAGGGGAGAGUGAAGGAAUGAGAGGAAUUUGCUUGCUCAGAAGAUGGGAGCGAUAGGGACUCCCCAUUCCGACCCCGAGCGCGAGCAGGCGCGGGGGCGAAGCCGGGCCUCCCCGCAGCUGUUGCCACUCGGGCUGUCAGCGCGGCGGCCUCUGCUUGCGGCCGCGCUGCUGGGACUCUGAUGGCCGUGCGGGGCCGGCCGCGGCAGCUGCUACUGCCUUGACUGUUGCCCCUGACCCUUCUGCUGUUUCUUCCUUGAUUUUAGCAUCAGCUUUUUUUCUCCCCCUCUCCUUUUUCCUGGCAGCACCUCUUGCAAAAAGGCAGAAAACAGCCUCCACAUUUGCUAGAUAGAGCGCGUGGGUGCGGGGGAGAGAGGCCGGGGCGGAGUGCUCCAGGCUUCGAACAAAGCUGGGAUCCCGGGCCCCUCCUGUCCCUUCUCCCCGCUCUGGUUAGCGGUGUCCUUCCCGCUGCAGCAAUGCUUUGUCAGCCUCGUGCCGGGAGCGAACUCCCGCACCGUCUCCUCCUGCUUGCUGACUUUGAAGGAUGCUUCACCCCUCACCCCCUCCAACAAGGGAGAAGAAAUACCAAAGAUAGAAUGGGGAGGGCAUGUUCCAGUUGGAUUGUGCUAAUGCACAUAUUCAUGAAUCUCUCCAAACAGGAUUCACUGCUCUCCAGGGAACCCUUGAAGUAUGCAUCAUUGUUUCAAUGAAGUAUCUUCAUUAUAAAACAUAGGGACUAUAAAAGGAGGUCUUCAUGAGGCAAGUGAAAUGACUGCCAAUAACUUCACCAAAAAGACAAAUUUGUUUUUUCUGUACUCUAAUAUUUUCCAUCCAGUGGAAUAAAUCCUGUUAUAAGGAAAUAGAGUAGUAUGGUUGGUUUACUCUGUACCCUGUACCCAUGUCUGCCUCACAAAGAUGCAAUGGGAUGGUGAAAUGAUGUCAUGAAGUAAAAUGGAAUUGCUGGGCAGAUAAAGCAACAGGCAAACACUGUAGCUUGCAAAAUAGGUUAGUCACAUAAAGGAUCUGAUAACACAAGUGAUAAGUGUGUAUUUUUUACCAAAAAGCAACAAACAGAUUUUUAGUUCAGAAAUUAACAUGAUCAAGUUAACCAUUCUAACAGUUAGAAGUAAUCAGGAAAACAGAUUAGAAUGGUAAGAAAUUAGAUUCAGUAUUGUAGUUUACAUCACUGGUCCUAAUCCUUUAUUCAUCGCUGUAUCUAUGUGUUUUGUCACAUGAAAAAAGAGGAAGAACAUUUUUAUUCCUUGAUUUUGAUCACAAGUCAGUAUGACUUGCUUUUGCAAUAAUAUAAAGUAAAAGAAUGUUGUACAAGUGCACCAAGAUUCAGAGGCUUUUAGAGUUACUGCUUCUGCUAAUGUGGUUUUACCACUGCAUACUUGGGCUAAACACUUGUCCUAGCAGGAUAAAGACAGACAUGUGGAGCAGAGCCAUAUUUUCCAACUUAACAUAGCCUACAUCAACCAAUUCAGCCUGCAUCAGUCAACCACCAGAUGAACACAUAACCAGCCCAGAUAAGUGAAUCAAUCACAAGCAAAGUUCAGCAUAGACAGUUGACCCACUAAUUCAUGAGAAUAAAUUAUUUCUGUUUUAAGCAACUGAAUGUUGAGUGAUUUGUUUUAACAAAAGUGUGAAUUUGGCCAUAGUUAACUAGAAACAUUCAGAACUCUGACAUUGGAGUGUAACAAUAAUCACCAGAAAAAUGCAAGGAACUAAAUCAAGACCACUUUGGAGGGGUUGAAGAAGGGCAUCUAAAACCUGAGAGGUAUUUAGGAUGUUUCCAAGGAUGAUGACAAAGUUUCCAACUGAGUGAGGAAGUACAGAAUUGGAGAUGGCAAUGCUCAGUUAAUUUUUAGAACUGGGUCUUAGUCUAAGUGAGAAUAUAGAAAGCAAACUAGUUUCAUGAAUUUAACAACUAAGAAAAAUAUGUAGAACAUGAGAGAAUCAAGAUCCUGGACUGCAAUAAUAAAUCAUAAAGAGAAGCAUCAGAGUUAACUCACUGAAGCCUAUGAGGAUAAUAGAGAAAUUAACUAACUUGAGUUUUUAAAAACAUAGUUUGUCAGUUGAAAGGUCAUUGGCAACCUUAAUGUUAUCAACUUGAACGUAGUGGGAAAAGGAACCAAACUGGGGUGAGUUAAGAAUCAAUGGCAAAAAGUGGCUCCCAGGUAACAGGAAAGGAUAAUUUGUUUGACAUGAUGACAAGUCCAAAGGGAGCAUGGUGUAUCCUAAUGAGAAGGCUAGAGACAUAAAGUAUAGCAGAGAGGAUCACCUGAGGAAAAAAUUGGUCUUUCAAAUAUUUGUGAUGCUUAUAUUAGAUAAUCUUGGUUAAUAAUAAUGUAAUCAUUAUUUAUUUACUGAGUACAAACUGGGAAAUAAUAAUACUCAGGGUACCAAGAAUUAAAAGUGUAUUAUCAUUUUUAAAAUGCUAAAAUAGACUAUGAUAUAUGAAAACUUAUUAUGAAUAGGAAAACUGAGGCUUAAAGAUAUUAUAUAACAUUUCCAAAGUCAUGAAGAGCAGAAUUUUGACACAAGCAUAUUAAUUCUUUUGUAUUAUUCUAAAGUACUCAGUAACUUACAGAACACUAGAAACAAAUGUGUGUAUGCAUUGUGCAUACACACACAUGUACAUUCACAUACACGAAUAGUAUGAAUUGAGUAGGCAGAUUAAUUUCCCAGUGCCAAAACAACACCUUGAAAUAAUUUCCCACAUAUUAAUAGAGAAAUUUAAUGGUUAAGAACUCUGAGUCACCUGAAGGUUGGAGAUAUUAAAUAGCAUUUCUCUGCAGAUGACUAGAUGGAAAUUAUUCUUGGUUCUUUUUUUUAAAAAGUUUUAUUUAAUGAGUAUAAGUUUCCAAAGUACAGCUUAUGGAUUACAAUGGCUUCCCCCCCAUAACGUCCCUCCAACCCGCAACCCUCCCCUUUCCCACUCCCUCUCCCCUUCCAUUCACAUCAAGAUUCAUUUUCGUUUCUUUUUAUAUACAGAAGAUCAGUUUAGCAUACAUUAAGUAAAGAUUUCAACAGUUUGCUCCCACACAGA